This 277-nucleotide long non-coding RNA is filed under the name Struthio camelus australis. RNAcentral describes it as "lncRNA (ENSSCUG00000018816.1)". The record is from RNAcentral. Lineage: Eukaryota; Metazoa; Chordata; Aves; Struthioniformes; Struthionidae.
CAAGGUAAUUCAAAGACAGCGUUUAUUUCUUCAGAGUUGAGAGAGCUAGAAAACUAAAGGACAGGAAGGCUGAGAUACUUCUGAGCAUGAGGUAGCUGCACAACGGUGAAGACAAGGAAGAGAAGCCUGUGUCUCCUACCUCAGUGUCCUCUUUUAGCCAGUACACUGAAGUGCUGUACAUGAACUCUUUCCUAGGGAGAGUUGAGUGGAGUUUUGACAACCAAAUCCCACUCUUGGAGCUUGUCAUCUAAGUUUCCACAUGCAGCAUUUGAACUUG